Molecule: small nuclear RNA, 105 nt
Filed under: Theropithecus gelada (gelada)
Lineage: Eukaryota; Metazoa; Chordata; Mammalia; Primates; Cercopithecidae
Source: RNAcentral
GUGCUUGCUUUGGCAGCACAUAUACUAAAAUUGGAACCAUACAGAGAAGAUGAGCACGAACUGUGCAAGGAUGACACACAAAUUCGUGAAGUAUUCCAUGUUUUU